Molecule: ribosomal RNA, 1343 nt
Filed under: uncultured bacterium
Lineage: Bacteria
Description: 16S ribosomal RNA
Rfam family: Bacterial small subunit ribosomal RNA
Source: RNAcentral
GACGAACGCUGGCGGCUUGCUUAACACAUGCAAGUCGAACGGAAAGGCCCUGCUUUUGUGGGGUGCUCGAGUGGCGAACGGGUGAGUAACACGUGAGUAACCUGCCCUUGACUUUGGGAUAACUUCAGGAAACUGGGGCUAAUACCGGAUAGGAGCUCCUGCUGCAUGGUGGGGGUUGGAAAGUUUCGGCGGUUGGGGAUGGACUCGCGGCUUAUCAGCUUGUUGGUGGGGUAGUGGCUUACCAAGGCUUUGACGGGUAGCCGGCCUGAGAGGGUGACCGGCCACAUUGGGACUGAGAUACGGCCCAGACUCCUACGGGAGGCAGCAGUGGGGAAUAUUGCACAAUGGGCGGAAGCCUGAUGCAGCAACGCCGCGUGCGGGAUGACGGCCUUCGGGUUGUAAACCGCUUUCGCCUGUGACGAAGCGUGAGUGACGGUAAUGGGUAAAGAAGCACCGGCUAACUACGUGCCAGCAGCCGCGGUGAUACGUAGGGUGCGAGCGUUGUCCGGAUUUAUUGGGCGUAAAGGGCUCGUAGGUGGUUGAUCGCGUCGGAAGUGUAAUCUUGGGGCUUAACCCUGAGCGUGCUUUCGAUACGGGUUGACUUGAGGAAGGUAGGGGAGAAUGGAAUUCCUGGUGGAGCGGUGGAAUGCGCAGAUAUCAGGAGGAACACCAGUGGCGAAGGCGGUUCUCUGGGCCUUUCCUGACGCUGAGGAGCGAAAGCGUGGGGAGCGAACAGGCUUAGAUACCCUGGUAGUCCACGCUGUAAACGGUGGGUACUAGGUGUGGGGUCCAUUCCACGGGUUCCGUGCCGUAGCUAACGCUUUAAGUACCCCGCCUGGGGAGUACGGCCGCAAGGCUAAAACUCAAAGGAAUUGACGGGGCCCCGCACAAGCGGCGGAGCAUGCGGAUUAAUUCGAUGCAACGCGUAGAACCUUACCUGGGUUUGACAUGGAUCGGGAGUGCUCAGAGAUGGGUGUGCCUCUUUUGGGGUCGGUUCACAGGUGGUGCAUGGCUGUCGUCAGCUCGUGUCGUGAGAUGUUGGGUUAAGUCCCGCAACGAGCGCAACCCUUGUUCACUGUUGCCAGCACGUUAUGGUGGGGACUCAGUGGAGGCCGCCGGGGUCAACUCGGAGGAAGGUGGGGAUGACGUCAAGUCAUCAUGCCCCUUAUGUCCAGGGCUUCACGCAUGCUACAAUGGCUGGUACAGAGAGUGGCGAGCCUGUGAGGGUGAGCGAAUCUCGGAAAGCCGGUCUCAGUUCGGAUUGGGGUCUGCAACUCGACCUCAUGAAGUCGGAGUCGCUAGUAAUCGCAGAUCAGCAACGCUGCGGUGAAUACGUUCCCGGG